AACGAACGCUGGCGGCAUGCCUAACACAUGCAAGUCGAACGAUGCCUUCGGGCAUAGUGGCGCACGGGUGCGUAACGCGUGGGAAUCUGCCUUUCGGUUCGGAAUAACUCAGGGAAACUUGAGCUAAUACCGGAUAACGUCGCAAGACCAAAGAUUUAUCACCGAAAGAUGAGCCCGCGUAGGAUUAGCUAGUUGGGGAGGUAAAGGCUCACCAAGGCGACGAUCCUUAGCUGGUCUGAGAGGAUGAUCAGCCACACUGGGACUGAGACACGGCCAGACUCCUACGGGAGGCAGCAGUGGGGAAUAUUGGACAAUGGGCGAAAGCCUGAUCCAGCAAUGCCGCGUGAGUGAUGAAGGCCUUAGGGUUGUAAAGCUCUUUUACCCGAGAAGAUAAUGACGGUACCGGGAGAAUAAGCCCCGGCUAACUCCGUG
This 432-nucleotide ribosomal RNA is filed under the name uncultured bacterium. Its description in RNAcentral is "partial 16S ribosomal RNA". It matches the Rfam family "Bacterial small subunit ribosomal RNA", at positions 29 to 507 of the family's 1533-position model. The record is from RNAcentral.